UUUGCCUGUGAUGGUUUUUAAAUAUACUUUGCAGAGAUUUAUAUAUAUCUCUAUGAAAAAUACUUAAAAUCUGAGGCUUU
Cannabis sativa is the source of this 80-nucleotide small nucleolar RNA. The record is from RefSeq and is a predicted model, not a curated record. NCBI's taxonomy places the organism in Eukaryota, Viridiplantae, Streptophyta, Magnoliopsida, Rosales, Cannabaceae.